UAUAUAAUGCAUUUAACUCCUUGUAUCAAUUUCCAUUGGUUAUCAACGCUACCGAAGACAGGAAAUCAUCAAAGACACAUUCAUUGCAGAGGUCAACAACAGUUGGCCUGCCCUGUUUUCAGAGACUGAGGUUGUUGCGGAGUUCACCCGCAUUACCAAUGGUACCUUUGUUGUCGACUUUCAUGGCCAAGCUGGACCACUACGCUGACCACCUUCUUAGAGUGUUCAAAAAGAAGGGGGGACAGCUAAACGCAAUAUCAACUUAAUCAUGGCAGCCAUGGAUGGGAAUCCCAGCGUUGAUGUUCGACGGGAAUGCAUUCUGAAAGCUGUCUGUGUCUACUUAAAUGAAAAGCCAGAUGACCUGUUCAAGGAAUUCUUGGAUGUGGAUCUUGGUGCAAGCAGAGAAAGGGAGCAGCUGACUUUGGGAGUCUAUGUUGUCAGACAUGAAGGAGCAAAC
Long non-coding RNA from Oreochromis aureus, 457 nucleotides. RefSeq lists it as uncharacterized. The record is from RefSeq and is a predicted model, not a curated record. The transcript is spliced from 4 exons. Lineage: Eukaryota; Metazoa; Chordata; Actinopteri; Cichliformes; Cichlidae.